GUGGAACCUCGGCUGGACGACGAGAAAUGGUACCCGGGUUUCGGCGGCGUUUUGAGGGUGAUUUCGUCGCUGCAGGAUUCGGGUGCUGGAACCGGUCUCACGACGUGGAGAAAAAGCGGUGCCUACCAUGCGAUGCCGAAAAUGGAAGGGCAGGCGAGCGUCGAGCCGGAGGAAGCCGCGCCACCGCUUUAUAAAGGUGACGAAAGAAAGCGGUGCUCAUCAUCGUCGAAUUUCCCGUCAGUGUCUCCGUUCUCUCUAAAUGUCUCCCGUGAUUUCUUCCGACGAAUGCAGAUGGGAACACCGGGAUCGUGUUAGGAACCACGGAAUUGAUAUCGAUUGCCGUAGUCAGCGCGCUGCUCGUGUGGUUGCUGGUCGGCCUGAGCCUGGUGUGUUACAGAUACCUCGUGAAACACUCGGACGAGUGUGGCCCUUGCGAGCCGCAGCAGCCGCCGGUUGCUGUUUUAUAUAAAAAUAAGGAAUACUGUGGGAACGACACUUGCGGUCGGCAAGCGGCCAGAAAAAGCUUGAUGGAUAAAUUGAAAGAAUAUUGGAGAAGGAAAUUAGGCAAAUGUCGCGGAUCUUGCAACGACGAUUGCACCGACGAGGAACAAUGUUUAGCAGCUAUAAGUUAUACUAGUAAGGACACGGUGGAUGUUAGCAAUAGUAGCCGAAGUUAUCAGAAGAGAAAAUUUUCCAAAUCGGUCUCGGCGAACUUUCCGAGCUACCAGAAGGAACGUAUCAAACAUAUUUACUACAGCUCCGAUGGCUCGUUAACUACCAACACCGAAAGCCCUCGCAAACCGAGAUAAUGAAUGUCUCUUGCUAGUUAGUGAUCAGAGAUGUCUGAUUGAUGCUAGGCACGUCGUUGAGACGAACGUGACCUUCGACAGGAUGAAUUCGACUUGAAACAGGUGAAUACGACCUGCGAAAGGAUGAAUUUCACACGAGAAUCGAGAAUGCGACCCUAAACAAGGAUAAAUUUGAGAAUGCAAUAUUUGGUCGAGGAAAGGACAAAUUUGAUCGGAACAAGGCGAUUCGAUGAGCCCGAAAAGAUUCCAAGAUGCUCGAAUACGGCCCACGGAAGAAACAUAAAUUCCGAGAGCAAAAAGCAGCGCGACCCGGACCACCCGGCAACAUUUUGAGCCGGCAGGGAGAACCGGUAGCAGCAUCGGUCCCGCGUCCUUUCAAUCAAACCGGCACCUCCGCGGCGACAAGCCGCGGCUGUCGGAAGUGUCGCCGUCGGGCGUUUUAAUUUUAUUACACCUGCA
This is a non-coding RNA of Megalopta genalis, 1268 nucleotides long. The record is from RefSeq and is a predicted model, not a curated record. Lineage: Eukaryota; Metazoa; Arthropoda; Insecta; Hymenoptera; Halictidae.